This 851-nucleotide ribosomal RNA is filed under the name Parmotrema subcaperatum. RNAcentral's name for it is "eukaryotic LSU rRNA". It matches the Rfam family "Eukaryotic large subunit ribosomal RNA", at positions 71 to 937 of the family's 3401-position model. The record is from RNAcentral. Lineage: Eukaryota; Fungi; Ascomycota; Lecanoromycetes; Lecanorales; Parmeliaceae.
GGGAUUGCCUCAGUAACGGCGAGUGAAGCGGCAACAGCUCAAAUUUGAAAUCUGGCUCCUUCGGGGUCCGAGUUGUAAUUUGUAGAGAGUGUUUCGGGGGAGACUGCGGUCUAAGUCCAUUGGAACAUGGUGUCAUAGAGGGUGAGAAUCCCGUAUGUGACCGCGGAUCGAACCCAUGUGAAGCCUCUUCGACGAGUCGAGUUGUUUGGGAAUGCAGCUCAAAAUGGGUGGUAAAUUUCAUCUAAAGCUAAAUACUGGCUGGAGACCGAUAGCGCACAAGUAGAGUGAUCGAAAGAUGAAAAGCACUUUGGAAAGAGAGUUAAACAGUACGUGAAAUUGUUGAAAGGGAAGCGCUUGCAACCAGACCUGCCCGUAGACGAUCAGCCGCUGUUCUCAGCGGUGCACUCGUUCUGCGAUCAGGCCAGCAUCGGUUUCGGCGGUCGGAUAAAGGCCUUGGGAAUGUAGCUUCCUUUCGGGGGAGUCUUAUAGCCCUCGGUGCAAUGCGGCUCGCCGGGACCGAGGACCGCGCUUCGGCUAGGAUGCUGGCGUAAUGGUUGUAAGCGACCCGUCUUGAAACACGGACCAAGGAGUCUAACAUCUAUGCGAGUGUUUGGGUGUCAAACCCAUGCGCGGAAUGAAAGUGAACGGAGGUGAGAACCCUUAAGGGCGCAUCAUCGACCGAUCCAGAUGUCUUCGGAUGGAUUUGAGUAUGAGCAUAGCUGUUGGGACCCGAAAGAUGGUGAACUAUGCCUGAAUAGGGUGAAGCCAGAGGAAACUCUGGUGGAGGCUCGCAGCGGUUCUGACGUGCAAAUCGAUCGUCAAAUUUGGGUAUAGGGGCGAAAGACUAAUCG